AUGGAUUUUUUGAUUUCUUUACACUUUCAUUCUUGCGUUGUCCCUAGUUCUGUUUCUUACUCCACAAACGCCGUAAACCCUCAAAUAUUAAUCUAAUCGUCAGCUAAAAAGGAUUCGGAGCAAUCGGAAUGUGGUUUCAGUGCAGUAAUUCGUCCUGUCCGGAUUAGUUGGCCCAUUUGGCCCUUCAGAAACUGCCGGGUUGCGUUUCUGAAGGGCCAGAUUAAAGGCCCCUAAAAGAGGCUUAAAACUCCCCAUAAAUCCGGGAGCAGGAUAGCUGCAGGGCAACAGCGAUGAAGGCAGUAAUGCGAGAUGGGUUAAGGUUAGCAGUAGUGGACCUUGAACCCCGACAAAGCGGAGAGACCGUGAACUAUCGGUACCGCGCUGGACACCGUGAACUAGACGGAGCAACUGCCCGCAGCAGACGGCGAUUACUGUUUCUGAAACACCGUACCCCCAAAAUAUAAACUUGGUGGGACGAACAAACAAACUCUGAGCUAGCCGAAAACAGUUCGUUACAUUUGGCGCCCAAAUUAAUAGUGCAGAUCAAGGACCCAGAAUGGAGGGGACCAACGUCAUCCUGCUCAAGGAGCAGGAGGAGCUUCAGGUUGAUGGGACGGGAAACGCGGUGUUUUGAGGCGAGUAAACGAAAAACCGACGACGAGUGGGUAGGGACAUCGUGAAAAUGGCAGGGAUCAAAGCAGUGGUCGCCAACAUCAGGAGCAAGGAAGACACCAUAAAGCUGUUAUUGAGGAAAACGAAACACGACAGUCGGCAUCAAACCAGUGGCGAAAAUUGUGAUGAGGGUGUGCGAUAUCAGCGGUCGAUCGAUAGGAAAUGGAUUUUCAACACGCGGUCACAAUGUGGGGAGCAAUCGGCAAAACAUGGGAACACCUAUAUGAACAGGAAGUAGCAAUGCCGAUUUAAGCGGGCAGUGUAGCCAGGGAUUUCGAAGAUAAGCGCCACCUAACAACGAUUAACGUCGGUAUACUAUUGAUUUCGCAACACACUAAGCGGCAGGCUUGCAUUAACGUUAACGCUAUAAAACUUUCCGUAGUCUAUCACUAGAGAGCUAUCACAUAGUGAAUAGAAGGUAGCAGACUUUUCUUUAGGAUUCUGAUUCUCUUUUGUGACGCCGAUCAGAUCCCGUUUCGUUGAACUAAGGCGAUAAGGUGAUGAAUGCCAAUUCUUUUUCGAAACCAGUUGAUACUGCUGAUCUUAGGUAUUUUUAAACAAAGUCGAUUUUUUUUUAUCAUGCUUGUUCCAAUUGUCCAAAAUGCUUUUCGUAUCUGGUUCGAAAAAUGAUCACAGCUGGUUGAUUUGCAAAAAAAGAACUGUACAAUAGAAAAAUUUUUAAAAUUUCA
Molecule: non-coding RNA, 1361 nt
Organism: Drosophila melanogaster (fruit fly)
Lineage: Eukaryota; Metazoa; Arthropoda; Insecta; Diptera; Drosophilidae
Source: Ensembl